AGCCCUGAGGUGUUAACAUAUUAGAUUGCAAAUCUAAAGAAGCAGGUAAGUAGCCUGCCGGGGCUU
This 66-nucleotide transfer RNA is filed under the name Strongylura anastomella. RNAcentral describes it as "tRNA-Cys". It matches the Rfam family "tRNA". Rfam says of the family: Transfer RNA (tRNA) molecules are approximately 80 nucleotides in length. Their secondary structure includes four short double-helical elements and three loops (D, anti-codon, and T loops). The record is from RNAcentral. Lineage: Eukaryota; Metazoa; Chordata; Actinopteri; Beloniformes; Belonidae.